RNAcentral lists this long non-coding RNA (1623 nucleotides) under Rattus norvegicus (Norway rat). RNAcentral describes it as "long non-coding RNA NONRATT020511". The record is from RNAcentral. Lineage: Eukaryota; Metazoa; Chordata; Mammalia; Rodentia; Muridae.
UAGAUGAAAGCCUUGGGCGUGUUUGAGCCUGUUUCAUCUGGAAAAGGUUUUUGAUGGUGGUGAUGUUAGGUAGGUAGGUGUGUGUGUGUGUGUGUGUGUGUGUGUGUGUGUGUGUGUGUGUUUGGACAGACUUGUCUCAGCCUCCUGAGUGCUGAGAUUAUAGGCAUGUGCUUUCAUGCCUGAUUUUACCCGAAAGAAAUUUAAAAGACAAAUUUAGUCCUCCUUGAUUAAGCAUAAAAAGUACUGGUCUCCACAGGGGCCGGGCUGCAUCCUUUCCUAGAGGCUUUCUUUCUUAACACACAUUUAUUAAGAUCAAACCUGAAUAAAACUACAUGUUAAUUUUAAAAAAUACACAUGUCUUUAUUUUCUAAGUUUUAGUAUUAAAAUACAAUUUAAAGAGUAUAUUAUAAACCUUACUGAUAAGUAUACAUGCGUGCCUCUGUUAUUGGAAAUGGUACAAGAGUGGAAAAUAAGGGACCGUUCUUACAAACUUCUCAUUUAGUAUCAAUUUAGCUGGGGGGUUGCCAUGUGGCUAUAAAUGAUAGAAUACAGAAAGUAUAUUGUAUUUAUGUGUGCCUUUCAUUUACAUACAGUAUGUAGAAAAUUUGUGUUGCCAUCAGUUAUUUGGUGAACCAUUAUUAAAAAGUAUUGAGACAGUUUAAGAUUAUAAAUUUUUAAUUAUUUUAUCAGUUCAAAAGUAAAUGUUGUCCUGCUUCCUGUCAGCUGUUCAUUUGUUAGGAUUCUUUGUGUCUCGUCACUGCUUCAAAUCUAGGUUUCUUUUCCCUCUCUGGGGUCAAAGAAUCCCUUGGAAGGGAUCAGUUUUGCUUCUGUUUGUUUGAUAUGAGCUUUCCCAUAUUAUAACAUUUAAAAAAUUUUAUUUUGAAAAGGUAGUAGCAUAUAAUCUAAAAUAUAGAAAUUAUUUAAAAGUUGACUAUUAGCUAAUUUUCUAAUAAUGGAUAUGUAAUUAAUCUCAUGCUAACAUAACAUGCUUUUCAUGUUAUGAAACUGUUUCAGCGUGGGACUUGGGGAGUUCACUUUGGAGUUAGACAACUGUAGCCACGCAUUUGUGUUUUCCUCUACUGUGAGGGUUCUCCAUAUACCUGUGCCUGUAAAACACGGGGCCAUAAGGUCUGGGUUGUUCCCUGACAUUGAAUUUCUUAGUUUUCAUUAUGAGAAUGCCUUAAGCAGGAAUAGCAAGCUGUGUUUAACAAGAUGAAGAAACCAGACAUUGGCUUGCCUGUUGUUCUUGGCCAGUAGUUUCUGUGGCAGCUCCCAUUGAUUGAUUGAUGGUUGGAAUGGUUCACGGAGUCACAGAAUUCUAGAUUUUGAGAACUCAAAUGUGUGCCACCAGCAAGAGCAACUGACCUGUGUGGUUGGGUGCCAGUACAAAAGUCAGCACUGUGGUAUGACCUAAAUUAACUGAACUUCUGUUGCAUGUCUCUUGUGAAUAUAUCUUUUGUAAUUUGUCAAAGUCCUACUUGGUACAGUACAGUUGUGGUGAAUUUGACUAUUGUUUUAAAUGUAUUGCUAGAGUGACUGUGAACAAAGGAAAAAAAUAAAAGCCCAUCUCGACGUUGAAAACAUCCUAAUAAAAUGCACAUAAUAAACUCUUCCUAAACUCCU